UACGUAGGGGGCAAGCGUUGUCCGGAUUUAUUGGGCGUAAAGAGCGUGUAGGCGGCCAAACAGGUCCACUGUGAAAACUCGAGGCUCAACCUCGAGAGGUCGGUGGAAACCGUCUGGCUAGAGUCCGGAAGAGGAGAGUGGAAUUCCACGUGUAGCAGUGAAAUGCGUAGAUAUCGGGAGGAACACCAGUGGCGAAGGCGACUACCUGGCCUGUUCUUGACGCUGAGGCGCGAAAGCUAGGGGAGCAAACGGG
This 253-nucleotide ribosomal RNA is filed under the name uncultured bacterium. RNAcentral describes it as "partial 16S ribosomal RNA". It matches the Rfam family "Bacterial small subunit ribosomal RNA", at positions 524 to 776 of the family's 1533-position model. The record is from RNAcentral.